UACGAGGGGGGCAAGCGUUGUUCGGAAUUACUGGGCGUAAAGCGUGCGCAGGCGGCUUCUCAAGUCAGGGGUGAAAGCCCAGAGCUCAACUCUGGAAUUGCCUUUGAGACUGAGUGGCUUGAGUACGAGAGAGGUGAGUGGAAUUCCCAGUGUAGAGGUGAAAUUCGUAGAUAUUGGGAAGAACACCGGUGGCGAAGGCGGCUCACUGGCUCGUAACUGACGCUCAUGCACGACAGCGUGGGGAUCAAACAGG
This 253-nucleotide ribosomal RNA is filed under the name uncultured bacterium. Its description in RNAcentral is "partial 16S ribosomal RNA". It matches the Rfam family "Bacterial small subunit ribosomal RNA", at positions 524 to 776 of the family's 1533-position model. The record is from RNAcentral.